CACCAAUCUGGCUCCUGUGGCUCUCCUCACAUCUCAGUAACACAUGCAGUUGAUCCUGGCAUCGCAGCUACUGAGAUUAGAGCAUGUAUAAUCCCAAUUUGUUUAAUUAUCAACAGAGUAAAUCAUUGGGGAGUCUGCUUGAACUGUGACUUUCACUUCAAGUAUCUUGAUCAGCAGUGCAAUAUUUGCACUGGACAGAGAAAUAAGCAUGAAGCCCCUUCACUAACUGUUCUCACUGCAGCAGAGGAGCCCUGGUGUGUCACAGCUGGACAGAGGCACCUCUACCUAUGGCAAGGAAGAGCUGAGGUAAGCAUGUCACAUGUAUUUCAGCUAAAUUUUUUGUUGCUGUUUCUUGGACUUUUAGAACAAAAAAGAGUACGUUGAUACUGUCUUUUGACUUCAGAAUUGAACAUAAAACACCAAUUUUGGAGAAAAACAGAAUGAAGUUACUAUUUCUCAGCUAUUCACCAGAAUAUUACUAAUACUCCCUAUGGUAAAUAAGUGUGUUCAUCUCAUUUGCAAUUAAACUAAUUUGACAUUUUUGCUUCUCUAGAAAUAAAUUGUAAAUAAACAAAUUUGGUUUCA
This 585-nucleotide long non-coding RNA is filed under the name Phasianus colchicus (ring-necked pheasant). Its description in RNAcentral is "lncRNA (ENSPCLG00000012290.1)". Lineage: Eukaryota; Metazoa; Chordata; Aves; Galliformes; Phasianidae. The record is from RNAcentral.